Molecule: ribosomal RNA, 446 nt
Filed under: uncultured bacterium
Lineage: Bacteria
Description: partial 16S ribosomal RNA
Rfam family: Bacterial small subunit ribosomal RNA
Source: RNAcentral
CCUACGGGUGGCAGCAGUCGAGAAUCAUUCACAAUGGGGGAAACCCUGAUGGUGCGACGCCGCGUGGGGGAAUGAAGGUCUUCGGAUUGUAAACCCCUGUCAUGUGGGAGCAAAUUAAAAAGAUAGUACCACAAGAGGAAGAGACGGCUAACUCUGUGCCAGCAGCCGCGGUAAUACAGCGGUCUCAAGCGUUGUUCGGAUUCACUGGGCGUAAAGCGUGCGUAGGCGGUUUCGUAAGUCGGGUGUGAAAGGCGCGGGCUCAACCCGCGGAUGGCACAUGAUACUGGGAGACUGGAGUAAGGUAGGGGGAAGCGGAAUUCUUGGUGUAGCAGUGAAAUGCGUAGAUAUCGAGAGGAACCCCCGUUGCGAAGGCGGGUUGCUGGGCAUUAACUGACGCUGAGGCACGAAGGCCAGGGGAGCGAAAGGGAUUAGAUACCCCUGUAGUC